UACAGAGGUCCCAAGCGUUGUUCGGAUUCACUGGGCGUAAAGGGUGCGUAGGCGGUUUGAUAAGUCUGAUGUGAAAUCCCGCAGCUUAACUGCGGAACUGCAUUGGAAACUAUCUCACUAGAGGAAUGGAGGGGAGACUGGAAUACUUGGUGUAGCAGUGAAAUGCGUAGAUAUCAAGUGGAACACCAGUGGCGAAGGCGAGUCUCUGGACAUUUCCUGACGCUGAGGCACGAAAGCCAGGGGAGCAAACGGG
Molecule: ribosomal RNA, 253 nt
Filed under: uncultured bacterium
Lineage: Bacteria
Description: partial 16S ribosomal RNA
Rfam family: Bacterial small subunit ribosomal RNA
Source: RNAcentral